AUUGAACGCUGGCGGCAGGCCUAACACAUGCAAGUCGAGCCGCGAAAAUUCCUUCGGGGAUGAGUAGAGCGGCGGACGGGUGAGUAAUGCGCAGAAAUCUGCCCAGUAGUGGGGGACAACCUGGUGAAAACCAGGCUAAUACCGCAUACGCCCUACGGGGAAAGGCAGGGAGUCUUCGGACCUUGCGCUAUUGGAUGAGUCUGCGUCGGAUUAGCUUGUUGGUGAGGUAAUGGCUCACCAAGGCGACGAUCCGUAGCUGGUCUGAGAGGAUGAUCAGCCACACUGGGACUGAGACACGGCCCAGACUCCUACGGGAGGCAGCAGUGGGGAAUAUUGGACAAUGGGCGAAAGCCUGAUCCAGCCAUGCCGCGUGUGUGAAGAAGGCUCUAGGGUUGUAAAGCACUUUCAGUGGGGAAGAAAGCUUGUUAGCUAAUAACUGACGAGUGUGACAUUACCCACAGAAGAAGCACCGGCUAACUCCG
Molecule: ribosomal RNA, 482 nt
Filed under: uncultured bacterium
Lineage: Bacteria
Description: bacterial SSU rRNA
Rfam family: Bacterial small subunit ribosomal RNA
Source: RNAcentral